UGCAACUUCAGGGAGAUAAGACUUGUAGCUUCAACUUAUUCUGCUGCAACUUUAAAGAUAAGUCUGAUGCGAUCUGCUCUACUGCAACUUCAGAGAGAUAAGAUCCAUCAUUUUAAUCUACUUCACUGCAAUAUCAGAGAAAUAGGGUAAUUGGCUUCAAUAUACUCCACUGCAACCUCAGGGAGGUAAAAUCUGCCAUCCUUGAUCUGCUCCACUACUGCUUAGGGAGAUAAGAUCUGUAAUCUUCAAUCUAUUCCACUGUUGUCCAGGGAAGUAGAAUUACUGGCUUCAAUGUACUCCACUGUAACCACAGGGAGGUAAAAUCUGCCAUUUUUUAUCUGUUCCACUACUGCUUGGGGAGACAAGAUCUGAAAUCUUCAAUCUAUUCCACUACUGUCCAUGGAAGUAGAAUUACUGGCUUCAAUGUACUCCACUGUAACCACG
RNAcentral lists this long non-coding RNA (444 nucleotides) under Gossypium barbadense (sea-island cotton). RNAcentral describes it as "long non-coding RNA (GBAR_LNC018267)". Lineage: Eukaryota; Viridiplantae; Streptophyta; Magnoliopsida; Malvales; Malvaceae. The record is from RNAcentral.